UGUGUGUGUGUGUGUGAGAGAGAGAGAGAGAGAGGGAGAUAGAUAGAGAAAGAUAGCUAUUUGGAUUAGACAUGAGAUUAUUUGAAAACAAUAGUAUUGAAGCAUAACAAAAACGGUAAGACUAUAAACUGGUCUGAUCAGUUUUGUCAUGACUUAAAAGUUAUGAAAUAGUGUUUGGAAAUCCGUAACCGUUAGAUUUAAUUUAAUUGGUUUUGAAUAUUAUUUUAUUACACAAGUAGCCGUUACGAGUAAUAAAUAGAUGAUAUAGGCGAUUGGGCAUUCUUCAACGGCCUCCUCUUUGAGGGAGAGAGAGAGUGUGUGUGUGUGAUAGAGAGAGAGAGAGAGGGAGAUAGAUAGAGAGAGAGAUAGCUAUUUGGCUUAGACAUGAGAUUAUUUGAAAACAAUAGUAUUGAAGUAUAACAAAAACGGUAAGACUAUAAACUGGUCUGAUCAG
RNAcentral lists this long non-coding RNA (454 nucleotides) under Brassica napus (rape). RNAcentral's name for it is "long non-coding RNA (BNAP_LNC006653)". Lineage: Eukaryota; Viridiplantae; Streptophyta; Magnoliopsida; Brassicales; Brassicaceae. The record is from RNAcentral.